CAGUUUCACCAUAUGCUCAUUUGACCAGAUGGCACUAGUGCCCCUGUGCUGAAUUUGGUUGCCAUGAACUUAUGGCAACACAGGGUGAGUGAAGAACAGGUUGUUUCUCUUUUCUUGGAUUUUGAGAGGCAAGGAGGAUGUGUGUAGGACCACUAGGAAAAUUUCUGUUAUGAACUGUUGGGUUUUGGAUCACUGUUUCAGGAUGAGUACUGUGCAAAAUUAACUGACCACUAGGAGAGAUUAAGAGUUAAGACCCAAGAUGGGUCUGCAGGACAGCUUUUGCUGGGCUUUUUAGUGUCUGAAAACAGUGGCAACAUGACCUCAUGGGAAAGCUCUUGCACAUGGAUCUUUCUUCAGCGUGCUGUGUGGGAUAGCCAGUGCCUGGUGAGUGUUACGUUUGGAGGAAGAGCGUGUUUGUUCAGAGAGACCUCUAAUUAGACGGUACAGCAACCCUACAGCUGGAUAGCCCGCACUGCUUGCCUCUGACAAGAGCUUUCUGUUUGUGCCAGCAGUUGUUAUGACACCGGCAUAUCCCAGCAGUGGGAGGCACCAUCGAAUAGAUCCGCAAAUGCAUGCAAGAAUGCACGAGGCAAAGGAAAACAGAAAGAAAGAAAAAAAAAGUGCUGCUUCUGCUAUGUCUGCAUGCUUCCAGCUGCUCCCUGGGAAGCAUCGGUCGCGGGCCCCAGGGCACCGCAGCCCGCUAGGGGGAGGCAUCGGCUCGGGAAAGCCCCCGGAUCCCGCCCCGCACCGCCCCGCGCCCGGGGCAGCUCCAGCUGCACGUUCUCCUACUCCCAUAGGUUUGCAGCAUCUGCAAAAAGCCUCUUGGAAAUGGAGCCUAUCUGCAUCAAUUCAAAGAUUUUGUCAUCAAUGAUCUCUGCAUCUUCAUCUCAUGCCUCUCUGGCUCUUUCAGAGUUCAUGAACAGCACUGGAUAUUAAACCAAGAUCAAUCAAGAUUCAACCUUCAAGGCCUUCAACCAAGGCCUUGGGCACCCCCAGCUGUUUCAUUGUCACCUGCUGCUCUGCUUCUGAUUUCUUUUGCUGGUAGUUGUUUGGUCUCCUUUGGCAGCUCUGAUGCUUUAAUCAGUGACACAGCCUUCUUGCUCUGAAGCCUACAACUUCUCUAAUGGUGUUUUUUUGUUGGACACCUGGGCCUCAGCUUCCACUCUCCUCUCUAGUAAGUGAAGAAGAACUCCACUGCAUUUUGUUCUUCUGUAGUUUCUUUUUCUGCUGUAAAGAAAAAUAAAAAAUAUUGUGAUUAAUAAAGGAUCA
This 1269-nucleotide long non-coding RNA is filed under the name Anas platyrhynchos platyrhynchos (common mallard). RNAcentral's name for it is "lncRNA (ENSAPLG00000026763.1)". Lineage: Eukaryota; Metazoa; Chordata; Aves; Anseriformes; Anatidae. The record is from RNAcentral.